Molecule: ribosomal RNA, 864 nt
Filed under: uncultured bacterium
Lineage: Bacteria
Description: bacterial SSU rRNA
Rfam family: Bacterial small subunit ribosomal RNA
Source: RNAcentral
AUAUGUGACGAUUAUGACGGUAGCAUAUGAAUAAGGAUCGGCUAAUUCCGUGCCAGCAGCCGCGGUCAUACGGAAGAUCCAAGCGUUAUCCGGAAUUACUGGGCGUAAAGAGUUGCGUAGGUGGCAUAGUAAGUAGAUAGUGAAAUCCUGGGGCUCAACCCUUUAAACAUUAUCUAAACUGCUAAGCUAGAGGGCGAGAGAGGUAGCUAGAAUUCCUUGUGUAGGAGUGAAAUCCGUAGAUAUAAGGAGGAAUACCGAUGGCGUAGGCAGGCUACUGGCUCGUCCCUGACACUAAGGCACGAAAGCGUGGGGAGCGACCGGGAUUAGAUACCCCGUUAGUCCACGCCGUAAACGAUGGAUGCUAGCUGUUAUGCGUAUCGACCCGCGUAGUAGCGAAGCUAACGCGUUAAGCAUCCCGCCUGUGGAGUACGAGCGCAAGCUUAAAACAUAAAGGAAUUGACGGGGACCCGCACAAGCGGUGGAGCGUGUUCUUUAAUUCGAUGGUAAGCGAAGAACCUUACCCAGGUUUGACAUCCUGCGAAGGUCUCCGAAAGGAGACUGUGCCUUGUGAGCGCAGUGACAGGUGUUGCAUGGCCGUCGUCAGCUCGUGUCGUGAGAUGUUUGGUUAAGUCCAUCAACGAGCGCAACCCUUAUAGUUAGUUGAAUUUUUCUAGCUAGACUGCCCCGGCAACGGGGAGGAAGGAGGGGAUGAUGUCAGGUCAGUAUUACCCUUACACCUGGGGCUAGAAACACGCUACAAUGGCCGGUACAAAGGGCAGCCAAGUCGCGAGACGGAGCAAAUCCCAUCAAAGCCGGUCCCAGUUCGGAUAGCAGGCUGAAACUCGCCUGCUGAAGCCGGAAUCG